AACUGCGAAUGGCUCAUUAAAUCAGUUAUCGUUUAUUUGAUAGUACCUUACUACUUGGAUAACCGUGGUAAUUCUAGAGCUAAUACAUGCUGAAAACCCCAACUUCGGGAGGGGUGUAUUUAUUAGAUAAAAAACCAACGCCCUUCGGGGCUUCUUGGUGAUUCAUGAUAACUUUACGGAUCGCAUGGCCUUGCGCCGGCGACGGUUCAUUCAAAUUUCUGCCCUAUCAACUUUCGAUGGUAAGGUAUUGGCUUACCAUGGUUUCAACGGGUAACGGGGAAUUAGGGUUCGAUUCCGGAGAGGGAGCCUGAGAAACGGCUACCACAUCCAAGGAAGGCAGCAGGCGCGCAAAUUACCCAAUCCCGACACGGGGAGGUAGUGACAAUAAAUACUGAUACAGGGCUCUUUUGGGUCUUGUAAUUGGAAUGAGUACAAUUUAAACCUCUUAACGAGGAACAAUUGGAGGGCAAGUCUGGUGCCAGCAGCCGCGGUAAUUCCAGCUCCAAUAGCGUAUAUUAAAGUUGUUGCAGUUAAAAAGCUCGUAGUUGAACCUUGGGUCUGGCUGGCAGGUCCGCCUCACCGCGUGUACUUGUCCGGCCGGGCCUUCCUUCUGGAGAACCUCAUGCCCUUCACUGGGCGUGUUGGGGACCAGGACUUUUACUUUGAAAAAAUUAGAGUGUUCAAAGCAGGCCUUUGCUCGAAUACGUUAGCAUGGAAUAAUAGAAUAGGACGUGCGGUCCUAUUUUGUUGGUUUCUAGGACCGCCGUAAUGAUUAAUAGGGACAGUCGGGGGCAUCAGUAUUCAAUUGUCAGAGGUGAAAUUCUUGGAUUUAUUGAAGACUAACUACUGCGAAAGCAUUUGCCAAGGAUGUUUUCAUUAAUCAGUGAACGAAAGUUAGGGGAUCGAAGACGAUCAGAUACCGUCGUAGUCUUAACCGUAAACUAUGCCGACUAGGGAUCGGGCGAUGUUCUUUUUCUGACUCGCUCGGCACCUUACGAGAAAUCAAAGUUUUUGGGUUCUGGGGGGAGUAUGGUCGCAAGGCUGAAACUAAAGAAA
RNAcentral lists this ribosomal RNA (1056 nucleotides) under Parastagonospora nodorum. RNAcentral's name for it is "SSU rRNA". It matches the Rfam family "Eukaryotic small subunit ribosomal RNA", at positions 85 to 1152 of the family's 1831-position model. The record is from RNAcentral. Lineage: Eukaryota; Fungi; Ascomycota; Dothideomycetes; Pleosporales; Phaeosphaeriaceae.